GUGCCAGCAGCCGCGGUAAUACGGAGGGUGCAAACGUUGCUCGGAAUCAUUGGGCGUAAAGCGCACGUAGGCGGCGGCAUAAGCGGAAUGUGAAAGCCCAGGGCUCAACCCUGGAAGUGCAUCCCGAACUGUGUCGCUUGAAUCUCGGAGGGGGACAGAGAAUUCCCGGUGUAGAGGUGAAAUUCGUAGAUAUCGGGAGGAAUACCAGUGGCGAAGGCGCUGUCCUGGACGAAGAUUGACGCUGAGGUGCGAAAGCGCGGGGAGCAAACAGGAUUAGAUACCCUGGUAGUCC
This 292-nucleotide ribosomal RNA is filed under the name uncultured bacterium. RNAcentral describes it as "partial 16S ribosomal RNA". It matches the Rfam family "Bacterial small subunit ribosomal RNA", at positions 505 to 796 of the family's 1533-position model. The record is from RNAcentral.